This 427-nucleotide ribosomal RNA is filed under the name uncultured bacterium. Its description in RNAcentral is "partial 16S ribosomal RNA". It matches the Rfam family "Bacterial small subunit ribosomal RNA", at positions 355 to 774 of the family's 1533-position model. The record is from RNAcentral.
UAGGGAAUCUUCGGCAAUGGACGAAAGUCUGACCGAGCAACGCCGCGUGAGUGAAGAAGGUUUUCGGAUCGUAAAACUCUGUUGUUAGAGAAGAACAAGGACGUUAGUAACUGAACGUCCCCUGACGGUAUCUAACCAGAAAGCCACGGCUAACUACGUGCCAGCAGCCGCGGUAAUACGUAGGUGGCAAGCGUUGUCCGGAUUUAUUGGGCGUAAAGCGAGCGCAGGCGGUUUCGUAAGUCUGAUGUGAAAGCCCCCGGCUCAACCGGGGAGGGUCAUUGGAAACUGGGAGACUUGAGUGCAGAAGAGGAGAGUGGAAUUCCAUGUGUAGCGGUGAAAUGCGUAGAUAUAUGGAGGAACACCAGUGGCGAAGGCGGCUCUCUGGUCUGUAACUGACGCUGAGGCUCGAAAGCGUGGGGAGCAAACA